CCUACGGGAGGCAGCAGUGAGGAAUAUUGGUCAAUGGACGAGAGUCUGAACCAGCCAAGUAGCGUGAAGGAUGACUGCCCUAUGGGUUGUAAACUUCUUUUAUAUGGGAAUAAAACGUUCCACGUGUGGGAUUUUGUAUGUACCAUAUGAAUAAGGAUCGGCUAACUCCGUGCCAGCAGCCGCGGUAAUACGGAGGAUCCGAGCGUUAUCCGGAUUUAUUGGGUUUAAAGGGAGCGUAGGUGGAUUGUUAAGUCAGUUGUGAAAGUUUGCGGCUCAACCGUAAAAUUGCAGUUGAAACUGGCAGUCUUGAGUACAGAAGAGGUGGGCGGAAUUCGUGGUGUAGCGGUGAAAUGCUUAGAUAUCACGAAGAACUCCGAUUGCGAAGGCAGUUCACUGGACUGCAACUGACACUGAGGCUCGAAAGUGUGGGUAUCAAACAGGAUUAGAUACCCCAGUAGUC
RNAcentral lists this ribosomal RNA (460 nucleotides) under uncultured bacterium. Its description in RNAcentral is "partial 16S ribosomal RNA". It matches the Rfam family "Bacterial small subunit ribosomal RNA", at positions 338 to 795 of the family's 1533-position model. The record is from RNAcentral.